Molecule: ribosomal RNA, 448 nt
Filed under: bacterium symbiont of Megymenum gracilicorne
Lineage: Bacteria
Description: partial 16S ribosomal RNA
Rfam family: Bacterial small subunit ribosomal RNA
Source: RNAcentral
GUGAAAUCCCCGGGCUUAACCUGGGAACUGCAUUCGAUACUGGCAAGCUAGAGUCUGGUAGAGGGGGGUGGAAUUCCNGGUGUAGCGGUGAAAUGCGUAGAGAUCUGGAGGAAUACCGGUGGCGAAGGCGGCCCCCUGGACAAAUACUGACGCUCAGGUGCGAAAGCGUGGGGAGCAAACAGGAUUAGAUACCCUGGUAGUCCACGCCGUAAACGAUGUCNACUUGNAGGUUGUUCCCUNGNGGAUUGGCUUCCGGAGCUAACGCUUUANGUUUACCGCCGGGGGAUNCCGGCCCCAAGGUUAAAACUCAAAUGAUUUGCGGGGGGCCCCCCCAGGGGGGGAAGAUGGUGUUUAAUUUCGCUGCACCCCNAAAAACCUUACCUCCUUUUAACUUCCAGANAACUUCUCAAAAAUGCUUUGGCGCCUUCGCGAACUCUCAGACNGGUGC